Molecule: ribosomal RNA, 564 nt
Filed under: Kribbella sp. 340A05
Lineage: Bacteria; Bacillati; Actinomycetota; Actinomycetes; Propionibacteriales; Kribbellaceae
Description: bacterial SSU rRNA
Rfam family: Bacterial small subunit ribosomal RNA
Source: RNAcentral
GAGCGGCGAACGGGUGAGUAACACGUGAGCAACCUACCCUCAACUUUGGGAUAAGCCUCGGAAACGGGGUCUAAUACCGGAUAACACCAUNUNUCUCAUGGGGGGUGGUUGAAAGUUCUGGCGGUUGGGGAUGGGCUCGCGGCCUAUCAGCUUGUUGGUGGGGUAAUGGCCUACCAAGGCGUCGACGGGUAGCCGGCCUGAGAGGGCGACCGGCCACACUGGGACUGAGACACGGCCCAGACUCCUACGGGAGGCAGCAGUGGGGAAUAUUGCGCAAUGGACGAAAGUCUGACGCAGCAACGCCGCGUGAGGGAUGACGGCCUUCGGGUUGUAAACCUCUUUCAGCAGGGACGAAGCGAGAGUGACGGUACCUGCAGAAGAAGGACCGGCCAACUACGUGCCAGCAGCCGCGGUAAUACGUAGGGUCCGAGCGUUGUCCGGAAUUAUUGGGCGUAAAGGGCUCGUAGGCGGUUCGUCACGUCGGGAGUGAAAACUCGGGGCUUAACCCCGAGCCUGCUUCCGAUACGGGCAGACUAGAGGUAGGCAGGGNAGAGCGGAACUCCU